Molecule: ribosomal RNA, 904 nt
Filed under: uncultured bacterium
Lineage: Bacteria
Description: bacterial SSU rRNA
Rfam family: Bacterial small subunit ribosomal RNA
Source: RNAcentral
GCGAACGGGUGCGUAACACGUUGGUGACCUGCCUUGAGGAGGGGGGCAACCGUGGGAAACCACGGCUAAUACCCCGGAUGUCGCGUUGUUAGAGGGUUUGGACUAAAACUUCGGUGCCUCAAGAGGGGCCUGCGGGCUAUCAGCUUGUUGGUGGGGUGAUGGCCUACCAAGGCUAAGACGGCUAGGGGGCGUGAGAGCGCGACCCCCCACAAUGGAACUGAUACACGGUCCAUACUCCUACGGGAGGCAGCAGUGAGGAAUAUUGCGCAAUGGGGGAAACCCUGACGCAGCAACGCCGCGUGAACGAUGAAGGCCUUCGGGUUGUAAAGUUCUUUUCUAAGGGAAGAUAGUGACGGUACCUUAGGAAUAAGUCCCGGCUAACUACGUGCCAGCAGCCGCGGUAAAACGUAGGGGGCGAGCGUUAUCCGGAUUUAUUGGGCGUAAAGCGCACGUAGGCGGCGUCGUAAGUUGGAUGUGAAAGCUCCCGGCUCAACUGGGAGAGGUCAUUCAAUACUGCAACGCUUGAGGUUAGAAGAGGAGAGCAGAAUUCCCGGUGUAGUGGUGGAACGCGUAGAUAUCGGGAGGAAUACCAGUGGCGAAGGCGGCUCUCUAGUCUACACCUGACGCUGAGGUGCGAAAGCGUGGGUAGCGAACGGGAUUAGAUACCCCGGUAGUCCACGCUGUAAACGAUGGAUACUAUGUGUAGGAGGUUAUCUAACCCUUCUGUGCCGAAGCAAACGCGUUAAGUAUCCCGCCUGGGGACUACGGCCGCAAGGUUAAAACUCAAAGGAAUUGACGGGGGCCCGCACAAGCAGCGGAGCGUGUGAUUUAAUUCGAUGAUACGCGAAGAAUCCUUACCUGGGCUUGACAUGUCGGUAGUAGUGAAGUGAAGCGACGACCCUUC